UUAAAUUGAAGAGUUUGAUCAUGGCUCAGAUUGAACGCUGGCGGCAGGCCUAACACAUGCAAGUCGAACGGUAACAGGGAACAGCUUACUGUUU
This 94-nucleotide ribosomal RNA is filed under the name Escherichia coli. Its description in RNAcentral is "partial 16S ribosomal RNA". It matches the Rfam family "Bacterial small subunit ribosomal RNA", at positions 1 to 88 of the family's 1533-position model. Lineage: Bacteria; Pseudomonadati; Pseudomonadota; Gammaproteobacteria; Enterobacterales; Enterobacteriaceae. The record is from RNAcentral.